GAUGAACGCUGGCGGCGUGCCUAAUACAUGCAAGUCGUACGGAAAGGCCCUUCGGGGUACUCGAGUGGCGGACGGCUGAGUAACGCGUGGGAACGUGCCCCAAAGUGAGGGAUAACGCACCGAAAGGUGUGCUAAUACCGCAUGUGGUCUUCGGAUUAAAGCUUCGGCGCUUUGGGAGCGGCCCGCGUACGAUUAGAUAGUUGGUGAGGUAAUGGCUCACCAAGUCGACGAUCGUUAGCGGGUCUGAGAGGAUGAUCAGCCAGACUGGGACUGCGACACGGCCCAGACUCCUACGGGAGGCAGCAGUAAGGAAUCUUCCACAAUGGGGGCAACCCUGAUGGAGCAACGCCGCGUGCAGGAUGAAGGUUUUCGGAUCGUAAACUGCUUUUAUAAGUGAAGAAUAUGACGGUAACUUAUGAAUAAGGAUCGGCUAACUACGUGCCAGCAGCCGCCGCCG
This 457-nucleotide ribosomal RNA is filed under the name uncultured bacterium. RNAcentral describes it as "partial 16S ribosomal RNA". It matches the Rfam family "Bacterial small subunit ribosomal RNA", at positions 28 to 523 of the family's 1533-position model. The record is from RNAcentral.